GCUCUGGAGAAGCUCACACCCGAUGUGAGGGCCGAAGGUGCAAAACCUUGCUUUGCAAGGCGAAUCUCUCAGGCAAAAGGACAGGGA
Molecule: non-coding RNA, 87 nt
Filed under: bovine gut metagenome
Description: Glycine riboswitch
Rfam family: Glycine riboswitch aptamer
About the family: This family represents the bacterial glycine riboswitch. Glycine riboswitches usually consist of two metabolite-binding aptamers domains with similar structures in tandem.
Source: RNAcentral